Molecule: ribosomal RNA, 396 nt
Filed under: uncultured bacterium
Lineage: Bacteria
Description: bacterial SSU rRNA
Rfam family: Bacterial small subunit ribosomal RNA
Source: RNAcentral
UAUUGGACAAUGGGGGCAACCCUGAUCCAGCCAUGCCGCGUGAGUGAUGAAGGUCUUAGGAUUGUAAAGCUCUUUCACCGGUGAAGAUAAUGACGGUAACCGGAGAAGAAGCACCGGCUAACUUCGUGCCAGCAGCCGCGGCAAUACGAAGGGGGCUAGCGUUGUUCGGAAUUACUGGGCGUAAAGCGCACGUAGGCGGAUAUUUAAGUCAGGGGUGAAAUCCCAGAGCUCAACUCUGGAACUGCCUUUGUUACUGGGUAUCUGGAGUAUGGAAGAGGUGAGUGGAAUUCCGAGUGUAGAGGUGAAAUUCGUAGAUAUUCGGAGGAACACCAGUGGCGAAGGCGGCUCACUGGUCCAUUACUGACGCUGAGGUGCGAAAGCGUGGGGAGCAAACAG